RNAcentral lists this long non-coding RNA (346 nucleotides) under Mytilus galloprovincialis (Mediterranean mussel). Lineage: Eukaryota; Metazoa; Mollusca; Bivalvia; Mytilida; Mytilidae. The record is from RNAcentral.
GCGGGCAUAUACACCUUGUGAACUGUUGUAGGAUGAUUUUUUGUAAAAGAUAUUAUGUAUGGAGAAUAACAUAAAAGGUAUCAAAAGCCCUCUCCCUUUUCCAAAGUCUGAUAUUUGUUUCCUUUCUGUUAAAUUCAAUUAUAUUCGUGUUUCUGGCCUACGACCACAAUUAUUCUUUUCCUUUGCUACACUGCUUCUUUUGGUAAAAGUCAAAUCAAAUUAAAAAUUUGCACCGUUUCAAACAUGAAAUAAAUGUAACUGCUUAUAUAUAGACCAUUAUUAGUCUAAAAAAUAUGCUUCUAUGACAAUCCAUCAGUGAUUUUUUUUUUUGAGAGCCUUAUUAACA